Molecule: small nuclear RNA, 105 nt
Organism: Pongo abelii (Sumatran orangutan)
Lineage: Eukaryota; Metazoa; Chordata; Mammalia; Primates; Hominidae
Source: Ensembl
AUGCUCACUUUGGCAGCACAUACACUAAAACUGGAAUGAUGUAGAGAAGAUGAGCGUGGUACCUGUGCAAGGAUGACACACAUUUGUGAAGUGUUCCAUAUUAAA